UGGGAGGGCAAGUCUGGUGCCAGCAGCCGCGGUAAUUCCAGCUCCAAUAGCGUAUAUUAAAGUUGUUGCAGUUAAAAAGCUCGUAGUUGAAUUUCGGGAUUCGUCGGUUGGUCGGGCUUCACUGUCCGCACUGACCUGACGGGUUCCUACCUUCUGAAUAACCAGCAUGCUAUUAAGUUAGUGCGUUGGGGAAGCAGAGCUAUUACCUUGAAAAAAUUAGAGUGCUUAAAGCAGGCUUGUGCUUGAAUAGAUUAGCAUGGAAUAAUAAAAUAGGACGGCAUGGUUCUAUUUUGUUGGUUUCUAGGAUCACCGUAAUGAUUAAUAGGGAUAGUUGGGGGCAUUAGUAUUCAAUUGUCAGAGGUGAAAUUCUUGGAUUUAUUGAAGACUAACUUCUGCGAAAGCAUUUGCCAAGGAUGUUUUCAUUAAUCAAGAACGAAAGUUAGGGGAUCGAAGACGAUCAGAUACCGUCGUAGUCUUAACCAUAAACUAUGCCGACUAGGGAUCGGACGAUGUUAAUUUUUUAAUGACUCGUUCGGCGCCUUACGGGAAAC
RNAcentral lists this ribosomal RNA (551 nucleotides) under uncultured Acaulospora. RNAcentral's name for it is "SSU rRNA". It matches the Rfam family "Eukaryotic small subunit ribosomal RNA", at positions 548 to 1098 of the family's 1831-position model. The record is from RNAcentral. Lineage: Eukaryota; Fungi; Glomeromycota; Glomeromycetes; Diversisporales; Acaulosporaceae.